Molecule: ribosomal RNA, 2904 nt
Filed under: Escherichia coli
Lineage: Bacteria; Pseudomonadati; Pseudomonadota; Gammaproteobacteria; Enterobacterales; Enterobacteriaceae
Description: 23S ribosomal RNA
Rfam family: Bacterial large subunit ribosomal RNA
Source: RNAcentral
GGUUAAGCGACUAAGCGUACACGGUGGAUGCCCUGGCAGUCAGAGGCGAUGAAGGACGUGCUAAUCUGCGAUAAGCGUCGGUGAGGUGAUAUGAACCGUUAUAACCGGCGAUUUCCGAAUGGGGAAACCCAGUGUGUUUCGACACACUAUCAUUAACUGAAUCCAUAGGUUAAUGAGGCGAACCGGGGGAACUGAAACAUCUAAGUACCCCGAGGAAAAGAAAUCAACCGAGAUUCCCCCAGUAGCGGCGAGCGAACGGGGAGGAGCCCAGAGCCUGAAUCAGUGUGUGUGUUAGUGGAAGCGUCUGGAAAGGCGCGCGAUACAGGGUGACAGCCCCGUACACAAAAAUGCACAUGCUGUGAGCUCGAUGAGUAGGGCGGGACACGUGGUAUCCUGUCUGAAUAUGGGGGGACCAUCCUCCAAGGCUAAAUACUCCUGACUGACCGAUAGUGAACCAGUACCGUGAGGGAAAGGCGAAAAGAACCCCAGCGAGGGGAGUGAAAAAGAACCUGAAACCGUGUACGUACAAGCAGUGGGAGCCUCUUUAUGGGGUGACUGCGUACCUUUUGUAUAAUGGGUCAGCGACUUAUAUUCUGUAGCAAGGUUAACCGAAUAGGGGAGCCGAAGGGAAACCGAGUCUUAACUGGGCGUUAAGUUGCAGGGUAUAGACCCGAAACCCGGUGAUCUAGCCAUGGGCAGGUUGAAGGUUGGGUAACACUAACUGGAGGACCGAACCGACUAAUGUUGAAAAAUUAGCGGAUGACUUGUGGCUGGGGGUGAAAGGCCAAUCAAACCGGGAGAUAGCUGGUUCUCCCCGAAAGCUAUUUAGGUAGCGCCUCGUGAAUUCAUCUCCGGGGGUAGAGCACUGUUUCGGCAAGGGGGUCAUCCCGACUUACCAACCCGAUGCAAACUGCGAAUACCGGAGAAUGUUAUCACGGGAGACACACGGCGGGUGCUAACGUCCGUCGUGAAGAGGGAAACAACCCAGACCGCCAGCUAAGGUCCCAAAGUCAUGGUUAAGUGGGAAACGAUGUGGGAAGGCCCAGACAGCCAGGAUGUUGGCUUAGAAGCAGCCAUCAUUUAAAGAAAGCGUAAUAGCUCACUGGUCGAGUCGGCCUGCGCGGAAGAUGUAACGGGGCUAAACCAUGCACCGAAGCUGCGGCAGCGACGCUUAUGCGUUGUUGGGUAGGGGAGCGUUCUGUAAGCCUGUGAAGGUGUGCUGUGAGGCAUGCUGGAGGUAUCAGAAGUGCGAAUGCUGACAUAAGUAACGAUAAAGCGGGUGAAAAGCCCGCUCGCCGGAAGACCAAGGGUUCCUGUCCAACGUUAAUCGGGGCAGGGUGAGUCGACCCCUAAGGCGAGGCCGAAAGGCGUAGUCGAUGGGAAACAGGUUAAUAUUCCUGUACUUGGUGUUACUGCGAAGGGGGGACGGAGAAGGCUAUGUUGGCCGGGCGACGGUUGUCCCGGUUUAAGCGUGUAGGCUGAUUUUCCAGGCAAAUCCGGAAAAUCAAGGCUGAGGCGUGAUGACGAGGCACUACGGUGCUGAAGCGACAAAUGCCCUGCUUCCAGGAAAAGCCUCUAAGCAUCAGGUAACAUCAAAUCGUACCCCAAACCGACACAGGUGGUCAGGUAGAGAAUACCAAGGCGCUUGAGAGAACUCGGGUGAAGGAACUAGGCAAAAUGGUGCCGUAACUUCGGGAGAAGGCACGCUGAUAUGUAGGUGAAGCGACUUGCUCGUGGAGCUGAAAUCAGUCGAAGAUACCAGCUGGCUGCAACUGUUUAUUAAAAACACAGCACUGUGCAAACACGAAAGUGGACGUAUACGGUGUGACGCCUGCCCGGUGCCGGAAGGUUAAUUGAUGGGGUUAGCGGCAACGCGAAGCUCUUGAUCGAAGCCCCGGUAAACGGCGGCCGUAACUAUAACGGUCCUAAGGUAGCGAAAUUCCUUGUCGGGUAAGUUCCGACCUGCACGAAUGGCGUAAUGAUGGCCAGGCUGUCUCCACCCGAGACUCAGUGAAAUUGAACUCGCUGUGAAGAUGCAGUGUACCCGCGGCAAGACGGAAAGACCCCGUGAACCUUUACUAUAGCUUGACACUGAACAUUGAGCCUUGAUGUGUAGGAUAGGUGGGAGGCUUUGAAGUGUGGACGCCAGUCUGCAUGGAGCCGACCUUGAAAUACCACCCUUUAAUGUUUGAUGUUCUAACGUUGGCCCGUAAUCCGGGUUGCGGACAGUGUCUGGUGGGUAGUUUGACUGGGGCGGUCUCCUCCUAAAGAGUAACGGAGGAGCACGAAGGUUGGCUAAUCCUGGUCGGACAUCAGGAGGUUAGUGCAAUGGCAUAAGCCAGCUUGACUGCGAGCGUGACGGCGCGAGCAGGUGCGAAAGCAGGUCAUAGUGAUCCGGUGGUUCUGAAUGGAAGGGCCAUCGCUCAACGGAUAAAAGGUACUCCGGGGAUAACAGGCUGAUACCGCCCAAGAGUUCAUAUCGACGGCGGUGUUUGGCACCUCGAUGUCGGCUCAUCACAUCCUGGGGCUGAAGUAGGUCCCAAGGGUAUGGCUGUUCGCCAUUUAAAGUGGUACGCGAGCUGGGUUUAGAACGUCGUGAGACAGUUCGGUCCCUAUCUGCCGUGGGCGCUGGAGAACUGAGGGGGCUGCUCCUAGUACGAGAGGACCGGAGUGGACGCAUCACUGGUGUUCGGGUUGUCAUGCCAAUGGCACUGCCCGGUAGCUAAAUGCGGAAGAGAUAAGUGCUGAAAGCAUCUAAGCACGAAACUUGCCCCGAGAUGAGUUCUCCCUGACUCCUUGAGAGUCCUGAAGGAACGUUGAAGACGACGACGUUGAUAGGCCGGGUGUGUAAGCGCAGCGAUGCGUUGAGCUAACCGGUACUAAUGAACCGUGAGGCUUAACCUU